CUGCGGCUGGCGCGGCGUCGCUCUAGCCAGUAAAUGACCUGCGACAUAACUAUUUGCAAAACAAAUGGGGAAGACCAAGAUAAAGAUAAGUUAUAUCACAGGAAAGCAAUUGAAAAUGCAAAAAUGAAGCAUCUGAAUGAAGGACUAAUAACACUGAAUUCAGCUUUUGUGAAUCUUAUCUGCAGAUAUGUACAGACUACAUCCUAAGAUUGACUUCUGCCUCAACAGAAAUACAUGAGCCAGUGCCUUAUUGGAAAUGAUUUGCGUGUUUUAAGAACUGGUGUAUAUAGGUACAUCUUGAAUGUUCUGCUUUCCUUGCCUUAUGCCUGUACUUCACCUCAGCCUUCAAUUCCAUUGUGUUUCCUUGCUACUUGGUAUCUUGAAAUCUGGUACGAAACUAUUGCAUGAUCCCUGCACCUUUGCUUCUGCAUAUAUCAUAGCUCUCUUAUAGUGAGUGUGCACAAUCUAUUUCAUUUGAUGUAAUCAAAGUUUA
RNAcentral lists this long non-coding RNA (493 nucleotides) under Pan troglodytes (chimpanzee). RNAcentral describes it as "long non-coding RNA NONPTRT005925". The record is from RNAcentral. Lineage: Eukaryota; Metazoa; Chordata; Mammalia; Primates; Hominidae.